ACAAGUCUUUGAACGGACUACGUUCACUCGAUCGUUUCGACGGAUCCAUCUGCAAGAUAUAUCUAAAGCUUGCAAUGUGAUUUGUUUCGCUGGAAGGUAAUAUGGAUGAAGAACUGAGCAGCGGUUGGUCAGACAUAGGGAACAUGUUUUCACAUAUGCCCAAAUCAUGAUAAGUGAGCAACAAUGAUACCAGGUAAUGUAUGCAGGAAGAAACAUUUACAUAGCAUUGCGAGAAGAAAGUUGUAGCUACUGGAUACCAAGAAUACAUUAGAGGACUUACAUUUGUGUCAGCUAGGAUGGCGUGGUAAAUAAGAUCUCCCAUCCGAGUCAUUUUAAUUCGCGCGGUCACAAUUUUCGCGAUCGUCACCCAACCAUGACCGUAGUAUUAUAGUGUAGAAAGAAGAAGUUACAAGUGAGGAUUCCAGGCGAAACGAGAGUACGGCCUUGGUGGCAUUAUUCUCUUCGAGCAGGCGCGUCCGAAGCUAAGUUGUACUGCCAUGGUUACUUUGUAAGGUUGAAGAUUGGUUGCACCAUAUUCUGCUAAUUUCUAGGCCGGGUCCUGCUUUUGUACAUCAAGUAUUCUGCCCGGGUGCUAUUCACGUCAUCAUUAACCUUCAUUCCAUUUUUCUUCAUAUUACCUUAUGGGACGAUAUUGUUUAUGGAAUGAUCUUGACUAUGGGCGAAAUUGAUUC
Molecule: non-coding RNA, 692 nt
Organism: Lolium perenne
Lineage: Eukaryota; Viridiplantae; Streptophyta; Magnoliopsida; Poales; Poaceae
Source: RefSeq, a predicted model, not a curated record